GCCAGCAGCCGCGGUAAUACGAAGGGACCUAGCGUAGUUCGGAAUUACUGGGCUUAAAGAGUUCGUAGGUUGUUAAAAAAGUUGGUUGUGAAAUCCCGAAGCUUAACUUCGGAACUGCAAUCAAAACUUUUUAGCUAGAGUAUGAUAGAGGAAAGCAGAAUUUCUAGUGUAGAGGUGAAAUUCGUAGAUAUUAGAAAGAAUACCAAUUGCGAAGGCAGCUUUCUGGAUCAUUACUGACACUGAGGAACGAAAGCAUGGGUAGCGAAGAGGAUUAGAUACCCUCGUAGUCCAUGCCGUAAACGAUGUGUGUUAGACGUUGGAAAUUAUUUUCAGUGUCGCAGCGAAAGCAUUAAACACACCGCCUGGGGAGUACGACCGCAAGGUUAAAACUCAAAUGAAUUGACGGGGACCCGCACAAGUAGUGGAGCAUGUGGUUUAAUUCGAAGAUACGCGCAGAACCUUACCAACACUUGACAUGUUCGUCGCGACUCUAAGAGAUUAGAGUUUUCGGUUCGGCCGGACGAAACACAGGUGCUGCAUGGCUGUCGUCAGCUCGUGUCGUGAGAUGUUGGGUUAAGUCCCGCAACGAGCGCAACCCUCACUUUUAGUUGCCAUCAUUUAGUUGGGCACUCUGAAAGAACUGCCAGUGAUAAGCUGGAGGAAGGUGGGGAUGACGUCAAGUCCUCAUGGCCCUUACGUGUUGGGCUACACACGUGCUACAAUGGCAUUUACAAUAGGAAGCAAGAUGGCGACGUCGAGCAAAUCCUAAAAAGAUGCCUCAGUUCGGAUUGUACUCUGCAACUCGAGUACAUGAAGCUGGAAUUACUAGUAAUCGC
Molecule: ribosomal RNA, 836 nt
Filed under: marine metagenome
Description: bacterial SSU rRNA
Rfam family: Bacterial small subunit ribosomal RNA
Source: RNAcentral